CCAUGAAAACAAGCAAGUUCACAAGUAUGAAGAAUAUAGAAGCACCUUUACCUCAGCUAAGGGGCUCAAGGAAGGUUUAUUGGAUGUGACUUUCUUGGAGCUAUCUGGGCUUCAAAAUAUACUUAAAUAUUCAUAUGCAUAAAAGAAGGUGGGGGAAUUUUAGCUGCAGAUGUUGGUAAAGCAGAAGAGAGAAGAGAGCAAGGUAGAAUCAGAAGACUGAGUGUUCCAUUGUGACCAAACAUCUGUUGUAGAAAAUCUGGUCAUGAAGAGAUACCUUGGGUUACACUUCAUGUUCUUUAUAAAAUACUACAGCAGAUGAAUAAAUACAUUAAUAGCAUGUUAUUUGUAUAUGUGUGUGUGUGUGUGUGUGUGUGUGUGAGAAUGCUGUUCUUCUGGUAAAACUUGUUAAUUGUCUAUGUUCAUUUAUUGAAGAAUGUGUUUAGUAUCUGAAUAAUUUUGCAUGGUGGGAUCUGUAAUGUUAUAUUUUCUCCUUUAAGCAUUGAAAUUCAUCAUGUAAGGCAGUGGUCCCCAACCUUUUUGGCACCAGGGACUGGUUUUGUGGAAGACAGUUCUUCCGUGGACUCGGGGUCGGGGAGCGGUUGGUUUCAGAAUGGAACCGUUUCACCUUAGAUCAUCAGGUGUUAAGUUCUUAUAAGGGGCAUGCAACCUAGAUCCCUCACUUGAGCAGUUCAUAACAGGGUUCAUGCUCCUGUGAGAAUCUUUUAUUAUUAUUAUUAUUAUUAUUAUACUUUAUGUUCUGGGGUACAUGUGCAGAACGUGCAGGUUUGUUACAUAGGUAUAAACAUGCCAUGGUGGUUUGCUGCACCCAUCAACCCGUCAUCUACAUUAGGUAUUCAUCCUAAUGCUAUCCGUCCACUGUAAGAAUCUUAUGCCCCUGCUGCUGCUGCUGAUCUGACGGGAGGCUUAGCUCAGGUCAUAAUACUUGGUUGCCCACUGCUUACCUCCUGCUGAGUAGCCUGGUUCCUAAUAUGUUGGGGACUCCUUGUGUAAGGACUUUUUUACAGUUUAAAAGAAAUCUGUCUAACUUCUCAUCAACAUUUCUUCCCCUACGGUUUUCCUUAUUCCCAAUUGGUUUUCAAAUGCAAUGAUAAGUAUUACUAAUUAAUAUUAUUUAUGUAGGCUCUAGGCGAAAAAAUCAGUUAGCAAAUUGAUAUUUGUUUAUAAACAACAUUUUUGGGCAGAGGUGCUCUUGUGAAUGCCAGAGCACUGCUGCUUUGAGUUGAUUUAAGAAAAUAAAUAGUAAGGAGCAUCUAGAAAUUCAAGUCCAACUGAUUUACCAUUUACUCUAUUAUUUUGGGUCUGUACAGAUUUAGCUCAUUAAACACCUUUUAAGAAUCUCUUUUUGCUAAAAGUAGAUGGAGAAAAAAGUACCAAAACAGUCUUUGAAAAAAAUUACUAUUUGCAAAAAAGAUUACAGAAGAAGCAAAACACUGAAUUCAAAAUAAUUAUAAUUUGAGUGGAGCCUCUUAUAGUUUCUGAAGUACCAGUGCAAAAUGAUAGGAAUAGAGAGAGAAUAUUUUAAGUGUAGACAAAUUAAUGCCAAUCAAAGUGAGUUAGAAUGUGUUUGUGUUUUUUGUUUAUAUAUGCUUAUCUUCUUAUUCUGCUAGUAUGUGAAAACAUAUGCUUUUAAGUGCCAGGGAUUUAAAGAUAAAUGUAACAACCUCCAUUCUGAAGGAGCUGACAUUCUAGUAGGAGAAACACAUUUUUAAACCAAUAAUUAAAACACAGAGAGUGAGUCAAACGUAUUGAGCUCUGCUGGAAGUAUAUCAGAGAGCAAGUCAAUCAACUCAACUUGGGGUGGGAGUAGUGAGGUCAGAAAUGAUUCACAGAGGUGUGAGGUUUACACUGAAGCUUGAAGGAUAAGGGGGACUUUCCCAUGUGGACACUGGAGGAGAGCAGUGCAGGCCUGGGGCACAGAACAACGUAUAGUCUGAUUGCUAGAAUCUGACAGGAGGAUGAGUGUUAGAAAGUGACUGAAGCAAACAGGUUCAGGUGGGUCUUACAGAGAUUAGGAUGCCAUCUUGAGGUGUUUGAAAAUUUCUCCAGAGGCUCCGCAUUGCCUUCAGAUUAAUUAGGCAAGUAACCUGCCCAGAUCUGUUUUUAGAAAUAGAACUCCUGUAGAUGUGUAGAAGAGUGAUGGGAAAGAGAAAGGACUGAUGUCCUUCUUUUCAUUGAAAAAGAUAUUGUUUAGGUCCUACAAUGGCUUAGGUAUGGUUUGAGACUCUGGGGUUACAAAGCAAAGAAAACCUGGCCUCUGCCCUGCUCAGAGAACAGCAGGGAUAGCAUGUUAGCAAAUAAGUAUAUAGUGUGGAAAGGUCUGUAGUCAAUAGCAGUCAUUUUGACAAUAGGAAAAGGAAUGUGUGAAACUUCUGGGUCUGUGUGUGUGUUGGGGUUGGUGGGUCAAGGGAGGGGAUCCAAAGAUGGUUUCACUAAGAAGGGAAAAACACCGGACCUGAGACUUGAAUGCAAGUAGAAUUUUGCCAGGCAGAUGAUCUGUUCUUCCAGGUAGAUAAUCCAUCCUGGGCAGACAAAACCAGGCUGUAGAAGGAACACCAUGUGUGGAGCAAUAGAAAUAUCUCAUUGUUACUGGAGUAUAAUGCAUGCAAGAAGCAGGCAAGGUAGACAGGGGCCACCGUGAAGGAA
Molecule: long non-coding RNA, 2664 nt
Filed under: Homo sapiens (human)
Lineage: Eukaryota; Metazoa; Chordata; Mammalia; Primates; Hominidae
Description: HSALNT0328753
Source: RNAcentral